AAACAAGAUAAUUGCAAAGCGGUUCCCUGCCAGCCCAUCCUCUUAACAAAGAAGGUGAGAUAAAAGAGAUGGCAUUCCUCCUGCUGGGCCCAGCAGGCUUGACAACCAGUGCCAGUCAUGGGGAAAAUGUCCCUUUCAGCCAACUCGAGAUCUUUCAAAACAGACCCAGGCAGUUUCUUUGAGGGCUGAAAGCCAGGAAACGGGUUCCUGUUGGCCGAGGCUUGGAAGGAGGGCCUGCCUGGUCCGUUGGCCCAUACCAGGCUUCCUUAGCGCCUCUGCUAGGAGCCAGUUAUCCUGCAGGCUGACUCAGCCUCUGCCCAGCCAUGAUCUGAAGCUGCUCUCUGCUGUUUUAAGCUGAGCACUGCAACCAGGGACCUCAGACACCAGAGACAAUGCAGGCCUCCAGAAAGCAGGAGAAGGACUUCUAAAUCAAGGCUGGCAGGAGGAAUGGGAAAUGGGCAUUCAAGGACAUGGCAGUAUGCUAUGCUCUGUACAUCAGGACCUCAUGGAAACCAGAAAGCCCGAGGUCUUGGAAUCCUGAACAGUGUUCCAGGUAGCCAAAGCUGGUCUGCAGAAUGAAGCUGAUGUGCACAAAGAUAUUCUGCCUUCAACGGAGGUGUGAGGAUCAGCUCCGUCUGGGUCAUGCCUGGAGUCCAGCUUCUCUCCUCUCCCAAAAUGACUCCGAUUUGGUGCUCAACCUUGUGAUCACAGAUUGCCAAUAAACGAUUAGCUUGAAAAUGCUGCCUGCAUUCUUCUCUCUCCAGGGAU
This 768-nucleotide long non-coding RNA is filed under the name Homo sapiens (human). RNAcentral's name for it is "HSALNT0069014". The record is from RNAcentral. Lineage: Eukaryota; Metazoa; Chordata; Mammalia; Primates; Hominidae.